ACACCGGCAGCUCAAGUGGUAGCCGCUUUUAUUGGGCCUAAAGCGUCCGUAGCCGGUCUGAUAAGUCUCUGGUGAAAUCGCGCAGCUUAACUGUGGGAAUUGCUGGAGAUACUAUCAUGACUCGAGGUCGGGAGAGGCUGGAGGUACUCCCAGGGUAGGGGUGAAAUCCUGUAAUCCUGGGAGGACCACCUGUGGCGAAGGCGUCCAGCUGGAACGAACCUGACGGUGAGGGACGAAAGCCAGGGGCGCGAACCGGAUUAGAUACCCGGGUAGUCCUGGCCGUAAACGAUGUGGACUUGGUGUUGGGAUGGCUUCGAGCUGCCCCAGUGCCGAAGGGAAGCUGUUAAGUCCACCGCCUGGGAAGUACGGCCGCAAGGCUGAAACUUAAAGGAAUUGGCGGGG
This 402-nucleotide ribosomal RNA is filed under the name uncultured bacterium. RNAcentral's name for it is "partial 16S ribosomal RNA". It matches the Rfam family "Archaeal small subunit ribosomal RNA", at positions 473 to 873 of the family's 1478-position model. The record is from RNAcentral.